CGACGUGCACCCGGUACCUUACUUAACCGAGUACCAAUGUAACGUAUCUUUCUUAUUACAUCAUCAUAUACAUGUGACAUACAGGCCUAAUAGGCCAACAUAAUCAUUUAUAAACUCAAAACAUAGGUUGACAAGGCCGUACAAUCUUUUACAUACACGACAUACGUCUACAAGCCUCUAAGAGUACAUAAAUGUCAUAAAGGUCGGGAUAAAGUCCUGCUAUACCAAACAAUACACGUCUAAAUCAUACUAACCAAACAAGCAACUCUGAAGCAAAUGGAGCGCACCAACAUCUUCCGCUGAGCUGAUAGCCUACCUGGAGGGCUCUCGACCUAUCUAUCGGGACCUGUGGGGAUGAAACGCAGUGUCCCCAGGAAAAGGGAUGUUAGUAUGAAAAAUGUACCGAGUAUGUAAGGCACAUAAAUAAGUACAUAACAAACAUGGAAGAAAUAUAGAAUAAUCGACUCAACUUGUAAGUCUGGAUAACUUUGUAAAUCAUAAAUUACUUUUAGCAUCAUGUAUAUGCGUAUGAAUGUCAUGUCAUGCAUAGGUAUAUGUUUCAUAACAUCAUCAGCCUCUAAGGUCAUCCCAUCAUAUCAUAUCGACCACUGUGGGCCAAAUCAUCAUCGUAUACCAAAUGAUCAGGUGGUGGUACGUAUAUAACUCCAUAACCUUUCCUAUAUCCCAUAUACAUAUAUAUACAUACAUAUAUACACUUAUAUAACGCCAUCUGUUCAUGGGUCAAUGUACAUUAAUGCAAUGGAUGAAAAGCGCAUUAAUAAAAUCUUUCGGAAUGUCAUAGGACCAUUUUGCCUUUGAGUAAUAUCAUAAAGUAAACUCUUUCCAACUUUCGUAUUUUUCUGAGACCCAUGAGCAGAUGAUAAUAUAUUAUGACACAUGGAAAUUCAAGAACAUAGAUAUCUCUAAUACUUCUAUGAAUAGAGUUAUUCAUGGAAUUUGCGCAUUUGCAUGUUUCGUUCAUAUUGUAUGGAUCAUGCCAAAAGAAAGAAGGGAUAGCCUUAAUAUACCUGGAAUAGGAAAAAAUACGUAUGAUAUUCUUGGAAAAAGGUUGCACUGUAUUCCCUUAGAAUAACAAAAUCUCACGUUACUAGUGUGCUAAGAAAUCUCGUGGGAUUUUGGUUGAAGAAUGAAAAUCUUCAUUGCCGCAACGAACUUAAUUUUCUAAAGAUUAAUUUGAAAUUGGUAAACAUUGAGUGAUUGUUGGCGGCUAAGAGUGACAGAGAGGGGUAAUCCCACAAACAACUUUCCACAACUCUCUAAAUCCAACAACCUCAAACUUAAACUAAGUUUGAGGUAAAGUGAUUGUUGUCAUUUUUUGGUUCUGAAAAUAUUAGAAGUGAAGAUUGUUGAACUAACAUAGUUUGCCACAUAGCCAAAAAUGACUACGAGUCAUUUUGGUUAAAACUUAGCUUGUCGCCACGUUGAAGGUAAGGUUUCUUGUACUUAUCUAAUUGUUUUACUUAAUUAAUAAUUUAUUAAUCUGCCACUAACCAAUAAUUAAUCAAUUGUCCAUGUAAUUAAAAAUUAUCCCAAAUUACUUAAAAUACUACUCAUUUUUAAUAUACCCUUAUACAUCAUACUAUUAUGAUCAUAUGGUACCUUAUAUGGUACUAGUCCAUAAAUACGGGAUAUUAACGCUCAGCCCGUAUUUUAUCCCAACAUGCCAAACUUGGACGAAAAUUAUUUCUUUGACUUUCUUCCCCUCUCACUUUCACGAAUUUACUCAUCACUUGUUUGAAAUAGCAUAAACCUUAUAAUCUCCAAAUAAUCUUUUCCUUGGACUGACGUCAAUUACCUUAUGACAAAUUCAACGUACAAUACUAUAGGGUGCAACAUCAUCGUAAUUUAAUACUUCAGGACGUAACAUCGACGAAAUAUUAUGGGGCGUAACAUCAUUCCCCUCUUUGGAAUAUUCGUCCUUAAAUGUUGACUGAUGCUCUUAUCAUUUUUAUAACUUAUAGCUCUUUUGAAUACCUUAAUACUCUCUUUGUCACUUAGGUAAUUGUUCUGUGAAUAAAUCCAAAGGCUAGGACAUUCCCCCUUUUAGGCCUCUUUCUCAUACCACGACUUAUGGUGAGGAUCUUUCCAAUCUCGUAGCUGUUGCUACCUUUUAUCAUGCAGUCUGUACGACUUUGAUCUUAUAAGUGCGCCUGUGCGAUUCUUCUCCUGUUUUUCCUCUAACUUUUGGCCAAUCUCUAGGCCUCACUUCGCAAAUAUAUACAAAGCUUGAUGAAGUGUCCCUAUGGGCAUUUGUAGGUAUACUAAAGUUUUUCUCUCGGUAUUUUGUUAAAAUUGCGAUUAUUGCUACAUCUUAUUUCAUAGAACCGGUUAUCUAACCGCGUAAUUUUUUCUGCAUCUAGGUAGAUAAUACUAUACCAUAACUCUUACUUCGAUUUAUCGUUGCUGAGAUCUGCUAUCAAAUUCCCGCUUACUCUUGUUGCUUAUCCAAUAUGUAUAAAUCAAAGUCUUUUAAUGCUUCCUCAUUACUAUUCAUUUUAAGAAUGAUGGCCUAAUCUUAUGUCAUACUUUGUAACUUGUAUUAGUCCAUUGUUGAUUGACCUUAAUUUUGAUCUAUAAUUUACUACUUGAUGACUUGAAUUCUUAUGUAAUACAUUGUUUCUAGGGCCCACGUCUUAUCGGGGACAUCUAGAGUAAUUAGAUUGAUCCACCUAGGGGUGAUACUAUAUUUCCAUAACUGUACUUAAUAGCAUCACAAUGUGACUCACCUUAUAUGGGUAUUUUAUUCCCUUACAAUUCGUGAAAUCCUCUUCAAGUCAUUAUUCAAUCAAAGUCCCAAAUGUCAUUCUUUAUUAUCCAUCAUAAUUACACCCUCAUUCUACUACCAGAGCAGCAUUCCAUUUAUUUUAAAUGCCAUUAGUCUUAGACUCCUUUGGGUUCAUUCAGGCUAUACUGAGCUUUGUAUAACUUAGAGAAACCAUCAUCACUGCUUGUUUUCAUGGGCUUAAUCGUGAGGACUUAUCCAUUCUCGUCACCUUCUUACUCGCCCUUUCUUAUCCUUAUUCCCGACUUUCUAAAACCUUAUCGCUUUACCAUACUUUAAUUUUCCACUUACACAUAUCCAUUUAUACUACUCACAAUCUCCCUUCAACUUGCUUGCACCAUAGACUUCCUUACGUUAUUUCUGAAACAUCGAGCGAGACAUCGCAUUGUCUCAAACUCUUUUUUUACUCUUGUAAUUUAGACCUUUUGGUACUUAGAAACCAUAGGUUGAAAGGUAUGCUACUGACGACGCUGCUAUCGUUCCUGUAUACUGAAUCCCCGCGCUUCUAGCCUCUUAUCCGCAAUAUGGACUAUUCAUAACCUUAUGUAUUUGAUUAUCUUGUAUGUUGUUCACCUUUUCCUUAAUUAACUUAAAAUAUUGCCUCACAUUCUUCUAUUUCUUCCAUAACCUUCCUUCCACAUAGGUAUAAUUUACCUCCAUAACCUGAAGCUCUAUUGUAAUACUUGCACCUCUGGUACAUACAUAAUCCGGUGGGAAGUUCGUAAUGGCUUCUUAUGAGUCUAGUACUUCUUCUAACUGGCUUCCUUGUAGAGCCAUUAUAGAUUAUGGUUGUUGUAUUAUUUUUCUUGAACAUCUGAUAUUAAGAGUGAUUCUGUCAUGUUCUAAAGCAUAAGUUCUAUAGUCCAAUAAUCAGACUCUCGAUUUACUUGGGUGUUGUAAUUCUUUAGUUUCUUCUUCCUUUUGAUCAGCCUUUACGUAGGCUUAAGCUAUCUUCUGAUCUGUGGCUCAUGGUAUCAGUUAUUACCUUAGCCUUUCAUGGGCAUUAUGGAAUAUCCAUGACACGAUCUUCUAACAAUUCAAUCAUUUGUCUAUGUCCUAGACUCAAUUCUUUAUUUUAACUUAUACCGGAGUCCUCUGUGGAUAUGUGAUUGUCAACAAAUAUGCUGCCUGGAUAAUGCUCCAAAAUCUUGAGUGCAUUCAUAACACAACUAACUCUAGAUCAUUGAUCGAAUAAUUCCUUCCGUUACUUCUCAGCUUUCUUUAAAUGUAAGCAAUUACUUUCUUUGGUCGUUCUGCCACUUGUUGCAUGAAUAUUUGGCUUAUCUUAGUGCCCGCAUAUUUUGAAAUUCCAUACAACCCAUAUGAUCUUGAAUAUUACUUUUAAUUCUUACUUCCCGUUCAUUAGCCACGGUAGGUGCCAUUUUCCUUUGGAAUGCUUACAAUGUUGUUGCGAGAUUGUUGCUACACGACCAUUUCCUCUUUAGGUCGUUGUGCUUAGGUUGAAGCCUUCUUUCUUAUCUCCUCAGCUAGUCUUUCAUUGUAGUACUUAGGGAGAACCCUUGACUCUCGUAAAACUGUGAGCUUAUUAUGGACCUUUUUGAUGUCCUUACUUGCCUAUAAUCAUCCGUAGUUGCUUACUUCCAUGCCCUUAUGCUUGUAUGGUUGCUUCUGAACUGAUAUUUUGACUGCCUUCCCAGUGGCACUUUCUUUUAUCCCCGUAACACUUAUACGGUACCUUUAACUACCCCGACUCUUGUUUCAAUAUAUCUCAAGUAUUAUAAUGAUAUUCUUCGAGGUUGAAUUCUCCAUGUUGGGUUCUACUAUGUUUAUCUUACAUGAUCUGAUGACUCGUCUGUAACCUCCUAUUUAGCCAUAACUGGGAUCUUCCUGACCAAUUACUAACUACUCGUUGGCCCAUUCAUAUAUCAAUAUUACUCGUAAUCUUUCUUUGUUUAUUUCCUUUGUCUUAACUUACGUCUCGCAUUGGUUCCUUAUUUAUUAAUAACAACAUGGGCAGGAACCUUUACUUCCUCUCCUUUACGUCGUGCUUUCACAACAUUUUUGAAUCGUAGCGUAUCUGUAAGAUUUGGAUAAGUGCCAUCUCAUUCCUCUUUCAUUUAUUGCAUUCUUCCUUUACCAUUCCAUAGUCACUAGAACCACUUAAUUCUGACUUAAUGUCACAUCACUCCAUAUUCCCCCUUUUAGGGGUGUACUAAGAGCUGAAGCCACGAGGAUCUUCAUAUAGAUUUUUUACCUCUUCAUCUUUGGCAUUGUUUUUCAACGUCAAUGAUCCUUACUCGCCUUGCGACAAUCCUUCUGUACUAAGGAUGACAAAUUCCCUUACUCGCGAGGUUGUCACUUAAUGUAACUGGUACAUACAGUCUCAUAAGCUUAACUUUGCUAACAUUGCUUGCUUUUAGGGAGGCGUCUUCCUGAAUGACCAUUCUCUGAAGUUUUCACGAAUCUUCUUCUAUUGCCCAUCCUAUUAUUGCCGGAACGCGAUAUGAAAUUCUCAUGAUACUGACUAUUAUCAAAUCACUCAAUCCCUAAUUCAUAUUUAGUUUAUCUUGUUCACCAGUCCAUAUUAAUUUCUAUUAAUCUGGGAUUUAACUUUUUUUCUCUUGUUAAUCGCGCUAGAGUUGCGAACUAAUUUCUUGAAAUGAGAAUCUGACUUUAAGGCCUAUAUUCUUUUAUUGUCUCAUGGCAUGUCAUCUUUUGUAUUUUCCUUCACUUGACUGUAAACUCUGUAAUAGUGUCAUCAUUUUUUUGACCUACCGUUAUCAUUCGUGUAUCACAUCUUACUCAUAAUGCUUCAUUAAAUCUCUUCUUAUCUCCCGCUAAUUAUCUAUUUCUACCACUUUACUCUAAAAACUCGAACAAAAUAUUCUUUUGCUUUUGGCUCCCCUUGCUUCAUCCCUUGGCUCUUUCAAUUGCCUAACAUUCUUUCUUUACUGCGGGCGGGAGAUACACUAAAGUAAUAUUUAUUGCUUCAAGGCUUCCAGUGCUCAUAUCUAGUUUUAAUAUUUUAGGGUGCACCAUCUAGGUGUCUCACAAGGAGAUCUAUUAGCACACUUGUUGUGACGACCCGGCCAGUCGUCUCAUGAAUUUCUGCUCCGUUUCCCCCAUUUCUGCUUCUUAUUACUUUGUUUAUCGGUUCUAUGUGUGAUCGGGUUGGUAGCUCGGGUUCGGAAAGGUUUUGGUAAGGUUUGAGACACUUAGUCUCUUUUGAGGGAGCUUAAGUUAGAAAAGUCAACCGGAUGUUGACUUAUUUGUUAAAGGGCUCGGAUGUGAGUUCUGAUGAUUCGGAUAGCUUCGGCAGGUGAUUUGGGACUUAGGAGCAUGAUCGGAAUGUGUUGAAAUUCCGAAGUAGAUUUAGGCUUGAAUUGGCGAAAUUGGAAUUUUGGCGUUUUCUGAUUGAUAAGUGAGAUUUUGAUAUAGGUCGGAAUAGAAUUCCGGAAGUUGCAGUAGCUCCGUUGUGUCAUUUGGAAUGUGUGUGCAAAAUUUCAGGUCAUUCGGACAUGGUUUGGUAGACUUUUGUUCAAAAGCGUAAUUCGGAAGAUUUUGGGAACCUUAGGCUUGAAUCCAAUGUGUUUUGGUUGAUACGAUGUUGUUUGACAUGUUUUGAAGAUUGGUAUAAGUUUGGAUAGUGGUAUAGGACUUGUUGGUGCUUUUGGUUGAGGUCCCGAGGGCCUUGGGAUGAUUUCGGAUGGUUGGCGGAAAGUUUGGAAUUUGAAAAUUGCAGCUAAAGUUUUUAGGACUGCUGUCAUAAUUGCAACUGCGGUUGGGAGGCUGCAGGUGCGACCUCCGCAGAUGCGGAGGACCAGUCACAGAAGCAGAAAGAGCCUAGGAAGGCAGGAACCGCAGAAGCAGUUGAGGAACCGCACCUGCGAUGGUGCGGGUACGGAUUAGGCAUCACAGAUGCGGAGAUUGAGGAUUUAAGUGAGUACCACAAAUGCGGUGUAUGGACCGCAAAAGCGGUAUCUGGACCGCAAGUGUGAAAAGCUUGGUCCAGAAGGUAUAAAAGCACCCCUUCAUGAUGUUUGAGUUGUUCUUCACAAUUUCAAGUCGAUGUUGGAGCUUUUUGGGAGAUUUUGAAGAGGGAAUCAAGGGAUAUCGUCUGGAGAUAAGAUUUUUGAGUCUAAUAAUCGAUCCUAUGGAAUUAUUUCACUGAUUUAGCCUAAGAUUAAUGGAAAUUAAGGGUUAAAAUUUGGGAAACUAGGUCUUGGUAUUGGAGAUCUUGGCUCGAGGAUUUGAGGGGCCAUUUGUGGUUGGAUUUUCGGACUUUUGAUAUGUAUGAACUCGUGGGAAGAUAAGGAAUCUAUUGAUGUAAAUUUUAUCUAAUUCCGAGACGUGGGCCCGGGGGUCGCGUUUUGGUUAAUUUCGGGAUUUAUGUUGUAAAUUGAUUAUUUUUGCAUGGGCUUCGUUUCCUUAGCAUAUUUUGACGUUGUGAUUCUGAUUUUGGAUAAAUUCAAUGCGAGUUGAGGCCGAUUCGAGGGGCAAAGGCGUCGCGGGCUGGAGUUUUGACUGGAUUGAGGUGAGUAAUGAUUUUAAAUGUUGUCAUGAGGGUAUGAAACCCCAGAUUACACAUCGUUGUGCUAUAAUGAGGUGACACACGUGCUAGAUGACGAGCAUGGGGUCGUACACCGUUGGAGAUUGUGACUUAGUCCGUCCCGAAUGACUGUUUUACCGCGUAUUUGAUUGAAAAUUGUUUGCUAUUAUCAUGUUUUGGGCGAAAUGCCAUAUUUGGGCCUUGUGCCAACUAUUUGGGCCCUUAGGGGAUUUUUACUGAUAUUUUCUCACUGUUUUGACUUUAUACUUGUACUCAGCCAUGUUUACUCUAUUUUAAUACAUUAAAUGAUAUUUUAAAUGAUAAUUUAGGCUGAGCAUCAUGUUUUAUUGUUGCCCAAGUGGCUUAUGAUAUUCUGACUGAGUAAGGCCGGGGGCCUGUGUUGCGAGGAUACACUGAUUUAUGAUUAUGAGGCUGAGGGCCUGCGUUGUACGCCACGAGGUGGCUUGAUAUGAGACUGAGAGCCUAUUGAUUAUACCACGAGAUGGCUUGAUAUCGCGCUGGGCCGUAAGGGGUCCCUCCCGGAGUCUGCACACCCCCAGUGAGCGCGAGUACCCAUUAUGAUAUGCGUAUAUAACACCAUCUGGUCACGGGUCAAUGUACAUGAAUGCAAUGCAUGAAAAGUACGUUAAUAAAAUCUUUCGGAAUGUCGUAAGACCAUUUUGACUUUGAGUAAUAUCAUAAAGUAAACUCUUUUCAAUUUUUGUAUUUUUUUGAGACCCAUGAACAGAUGAUAAUAUAUUAUGACACAUAGAAAUUCAAGAACAUAGAUAUCUCUAAUACUUCUAUGAAUAGAGUUUGUCACACCUCUUUUUUACACACCCGAAAGUAUAGAUAGGGAGUUUUCCCAAUUUAAGUGACAUUAUUCGAAAUGAGACUAUUUAAUUUAUUUCAGAUUCGCCACUUGGGAUAUUUAUUAUGGUGUCCCAAGUCACCGGUUUAUUUUAAGUCCCAAAUCGAGGAAAUUCAACUUUCCUUUGGAAGUCUGCGAACCAGAAAUUCUAAGUAAGGAAUUCUGUUAACCCGGGAGAAGGUGUUAGGCAUUCUCGGGUUCCGUGGUUCUAGCACGGUCGCUUAAACUAUUAUAAUUGGCCUAUUAUCUGAUUACAAUACAUGUUUUAGCCUAUGGUUCAAUUUCCUUAUUAACCGCUUUUAAUAAUUAUUGUUACAUAUUGUAAUCAUGUCACGGGAACCGUACCCACGAUCUGCAAUAUAUUUAGUUUUUAAAGAUUAAAUUGUGGUCGGGUCACAUAAAUGCACCCCGAGUUUUAGUAAUUAGGCGUCACAACUACGUCACGGGAACCGUACCCGUAGCUAUGACAAUUAAUCAAUUAACGUGCUUAAAGCAACUAAGAAAUUUCAGGCAAUUUCUAUACUAAUUUUUAUUUAUAUGAGGGCCAUAAAUUAUAGGAUUUUAUUUGUAUAUGGCACACCCCAAUUUAUUUGAUCUAAAUUUGUGAGGGCCAAGUAUUAUAGAUUUAAAGCAUGGCACACCUCAAGUUAUUCUUUAAAAAAAAAUUUAUAUUUUAAAGGCAAACUAAAGGUGCUCUCGUUUUUUACUAAUUUAAAAACUAGCUAUCACAACCACGUCACGGGAACCGUACCCGUAGUCGUAAAAUUUUUAAAAUCGCGCCUAAAACAAGCCACGAGUAUAAUGAUGCUAAACAACAAAGGUAAUGAACUAACAAUAUUGUUGCGAGACAGUUUGUUAACCUUUUCAUAGCAGAAACUCAAACUCCUACAAUAAGCAUGUUAUCAGAUACCUAUUUGAAGUGAAACAACGUUCUUUUGUAGAGAAAGUUAACAAUUAAUUGUAGUGGAAAUUGUAAUGUUUCAAAAUAAUGAUAAUAUCCCAACUCCCAUGCAUCAAAUCCAAGUGCUAAUGGAUAAGUAAUUUCUUACAAAGGUAAAGGACGGGUACAUUAUACCUAUAUGUCUAAAGAUCAACAGAUUUCCAAUGUCAAAUUUACCACUCACGUAUGCUAAUUUUACCUAAGAGCCGCAGGUCUCUUAAUUUGAGUUUACCAACAAAGACCAACUCUUGAGCCAACAACAACAAAGUUUAUAUAAACACACAUAGGCCAUUUAAUGAACUAAGUGACUAAGUAAUUAGAAAAGUCACAUAAUAUUAAGCUAAAUGAAAACAAGGGAAAUGAAUUUCUUAUCACUUCAAUUCAAUACAUGUCAAAUGAUGAGUAUAAAACAGUAAGCACCUAAAGUUAAUUUAAAAUAAAACUUUGAUUCAUGAGCUUCAAUUAAGUGACAACAAACUUAACGCCUCAAUCAUACUUCACUUUUGAUAAACGAGAAGGAACCAGUAAUUGAAAAUUGUAAAUGAGGAUAUUAAGUAAGAACACCAAGGUUUGUAUUUCAGUUACCCAUUUUCACAAUCAAAUUCACAAAACUUAACUUAUAGGCGAUCAAAGUCAGAGUUGAUUCGAAGAGCUCCAAACACAUUUUAAGACACACAGUUAAAUUAUGGACACUAACAGAUCUUUUUCGAUAACAAAUUAGGACAACUUCAAGCAAUAAAUCAGUCGUAAUUAAAGCAAGAAAAUUAAUCAAAUAAGUUAUAUAGUCAUGUUUAAAACUCAAAGCAGUCAAAUACCAAGUCAGUGAUCCCAAAAUCAAAUUAGAUUUGCAACCCAAUGUGUCUGAACCAAACAAAUCCAGAAUCGUAAAUGUUCAAUCUUAGAAGUAAAACCAACACACUUAGCGGGAAGAGAUGCAAACUGAAUAAACUUAAACGGAUAUCAAGAACGAACCUGUUAAGUAUGCUUUCUUUAUAGCAAUUAUAGAAUCGACAAAUACACUGUUUUCUUGACUCCAAAAUUCCAACGAGAUUCAACAACUGUAUCCAGUAGAAUUUGCAAGCCAAAUCGAAAUUUUGAAAGACCACUUUGGACAGAAUCAACAGAGUGCAAAAAAUUCAAAACUCCAUCCCCAAUAUUCAACUUGAGGAUUUAAACCAAACUUCCUUUCUAAAAAAAAAGAACAGAAAUCAAGAGAAAAGAAAACAAGGCUAGAAGAAAUAUGUUUCAGCAAUCUUUUUUUUUUUUGAUUUUUUCUCUUAAAAACCAAAACAAAUCUAGAAUGAAAACUAAAUUCAAGCCAUAUAAGACUUACCUCAUAUAUAUAGACUUCAAAAACUUCAAAAAAUCUGCCCAAAAUCCGAAAAUCCCUCGAGUUGUUUUGAACAAUUUUGGAACAAAUAGAGGGCGUGGAUUGAUUCACAUCUAUCCACGGCUCCCAUUCAUCCAACAAUUGUCGUCUUUAUACAUAAAUCCACGAUUUUGAGUGAAUAUUCGUACUCCUCUCUGACAAAUCCAUUGGGAAAUAGAGGUGACAUGGAGAGGAGGGGACCAAUGAGUGAACUCGGGUGAUCUUCAGGCGAGUUGGGUUGGGCUCAGUGAAGAAGAUGAAUAGUAGCGCCGUUUCUCUGAUUUCUAUAGGGUUUAGGAAUUUGGGGGAAAUGUUUGAGAGGGAUUAUAUAUUGAGGGAAAUGGGGCGGGUCGGUUUGGCGGGUUAGCUCGAUUUGGGUUGGGGCUGUAGGGAAAUAUUUGGGCUGGGGGAAUUAAACUAAGGAUGGCCCAAAUCAAUUCUUUUCUAAUUCCUCUAUUAUUUCUAAUUUUCCUUUUCUUUUCAUUUUCCAAUUUUCUUUCUUUUUUCAAAUUAAAAUAAAUGUAAACUAACUCUUAAAAAUUAUAUUAACCUACCAACAACAACAACAACCCAGUAUAAUCCCACUUAGUGGGGUCUGGGGAGGAUAGUGUGUACGCAGACCUUACCCCUACCCUGAGGUAGAGAGGCUAUAUUAACCUACCAAAUUAUAUUAAAAUCUCAACAUAAUAUUAAAAAAAAAUUAAAUAACUCCUAAAUUAAAAGAUAAGCUAUAAAAUUCAAAAUUAAAGAGUUAAAAUGCAACAUGAACUAUUUUUGUUAUUUUUUCAUAUUUUAUAAAAUAACUAAAUUACUAAUUAAUCUAAAAAUGUAAAAUUAAAUCCUAAAUGCGAAUGCAAGGUAUUUUUGUAUUUUUCAUGAGUUAAAUAAGAUUAAACAUGCACACAAAAAUGCAAAUAAUUAGAAAAACUGUACAAUAAUUCCUAAAAUAACAAACAAUUAAAAGAAAAAUCUAAUUCUUUGGAAUUCUAUAGGAGUAAUUCAUGUGGGAAAAAAAUCACGUGCUCACAGCUGCCCCUCUUUGCUAGGAGACACGAAAGAUUUUCGGGCAAAGAUAAAAUGAGCAAUUACGAGGGAUUUUUGCCCGUUCGAAACUCCAUGAGAAGUAUUUUUGAAAAGAGCCUGACCGAACCUUGCUUCAGAGGUUGCCUAUAUAUCCUUGGCUAUAAAGGAAUCAGGUUAGUGUAGUUUUUGAAGUUUACGUAGCCGAGACUACCGGAAAGCUGUGAUUUCACUAUUGUUGCUGCUGUUACUGCUUGCUGAACUUCUUAUUACACAAAAAUAGAAAAAACAAAAAGCUAAACUAGCUAAGUUUAUCAGCUACGAGUUACAAGAUUGCUAUCUAUAAAUCUCCUGAAGCUUGAUCUUGAGUCUUGGCUAGUUUUUGUUGCAGACUCCGAUCUAAAUCUUGAUGCUCAUCAGCUGUAGGUGCUGGUUCCUUUUCCAGCUUUGGAUCAAGCUGGGACACGCGAAGCCCGUGACUUCAAUCAUAUAUUGAGCAAUCCGCAUCCUUCUCCACUUCAGCCCUUUGAGUCCAUUCUUUUUUUCUCUUUUUUCUUCUUUUCUUUAUUUUAGAUUGAAACUCAUUAUUUUGGUCGUCUAGAACCUUGUGCCUCGAGGUAAAACCUGCUCAGACACUACAACAAACAAACAAAAGAACGAAAUUUUUCUGCCCCAAUUUUCACUAGGAAAAUUUCAUGAGUUAUUGUAACAAAUCCUACACUAUUUCUAUAUUGAAAACAAUAAAAUAAAGAUCAUGUGUCUUUAGGAGAAAGAGAUUAGGGAAUGGAGCCCUAUAUCUAAAAUAACCUCAACUAGGGGUUGGAGACCCUAUGUUGGCAAAGGGCGACUAGGGAAUGGAGGCCCUAUGUCUAAAAAUAAUCUCAACUAGGGAUUGUAGCCCUAUGUUGGCAAAAGGCGACUAGGGAAUGGAGUCCCUAUGUCUAAAAAUAAUCUCAACUAGGUAUUGGAGCCCUAUAUUGGCAAAAGGCGACUAGGGAAGGCCCUAUGUCUAAAAAUAAUCUCAACUAGGGAUUGGAGCCCUAUGUUGGCAAAAGGCGACCAGGGAAUGGAGGCCCUAUGUCUAAAAAUAAUCUCAACUAGGGAUAAUAGCCCUAUGUUGGUAGAAGGCGACUAGGGAAUAGAGCCCCUAUGUCUAAAACUGAUCUCAACUAGGGAUUGAAGCCCUAUGUUGGCAAAAGGCAACUAGGGGAUGGAGACCCUAUAUCUAAAAAUCUCAACUAGGGAUUGGAUCCCUAUGUUGGAAAAGCGUAAAAAAUUGAGAUUGGGGAUUCUGAACUGCCAUUUUUUUUUGAUUUUCUUCUUAUCUCUAUUUUUCAUUUCAUUUUCCUUUUUUCUAUAUUUCAUUUCAUGGAAUGAGUAAAUGCGGGAAAAAAUUUGGAGGGGACUUCCUUUUUAUAGAUUUUGCUACAAAGUUGUUUCUAACACUUGCACAUUUCUUUUCCUUUUUGGUUACACCUGCUUCUUGCACUGUUGCUUUGAAUUGCACUUGUCUCAAAUUUUCAAACAAAGAGCAAUUGUUAGUUUGAAACGGUGGUUGAUUUUGUGGCCUUGAUUGUUUUUGAUCACUUGAUCUCGGCCCAACUCUUUUAGUGAGAACUUCUGCUGCUUGUUGGCUUUUCCGAAGAUCGAUCUCUCUCCUAAAACCAAGGUACUCAACUUUCCAACUUUCCGGAUGACUGUUUACCCGUGCGGGGCUUUGGCCUUUUCACCUUAUUCUGCCUCUAGGGGUUUUUGACUUUGGAUUUCUUUUUAUUUUCAAUAACUUGAUUUUAGAGCAUCGACCAUCAUGGCCAGUCGGGAUCGACUUGAAGCACCCGCUGAGGCUGGGUACUUUUCUUUGGACUUGACCGUUAUUAAACAGAAACCUGUAAAACCAAUCUUGCCACCUUUUCUUUGUAUUAGUUUCGGAACAGAGUUAGACGGAAAGGGAUUCAAAGGAAAGUAAACAAAGGAUAAGAAAAUGAAUUUAAGGAGAAGUGCCCCUUUUCGGGGAGGAAAGAAGGACUUAUCUGGAGUGCAUGCAGACCUCAAUAGACAUGACAUACUUCUUGUACUGGAUGCUCGAUCUACACAACUAUCCAACUUCUCACAAACCCAUUGCGACCCUUGUUUUAAAAAUGAGAAACCUUGCCAGGACUAUUUCGAUGCCAAUGGAGGUGAGGGGUUUGUUCUUUUUUAUCAACGUCGCCCUUUGCGGGUUUUCGCCAAUCGACCUCUCUCAUUUCUCUUCUCACCGUCUCCUUAUAGCGCUCUUUAUGAGUUUUCACUAACAAGACUCUCUCGUUUUUCAGUUUCUCUGCUCUCCAUCGCCUUAUGGUGCCCGUGGAUUUUCACCAAUAAGACUCUCUCAUUUUAUUUCUCUCAUCUUGAUUGCAUCGGAUCCAAACAACUGCAUUCUCUGAUUUUGAAAACCUUUCACCGAUUGAUCGGAAGGACUUGAACAAGGUUUGGGUAAAAAGAACUUGGAUCGAAUUAUAACUUUGGAAUCGUUCAGGCGGGAUCAUCGCCGAACCAUUAUAAUAUCUGCCCCAGUUUCAUUUUUUGGGGAAAUUAGAUUUUUUUUGGUGUGACGGAACCCUAGAGAAAGGCUGCCUACGCAUCCUUUCGGAAUCAAGUCGAACGUAGUUCAGGGAAACAUUAUUUUUUUAUUUUUCUUUUGUUUUUCUGUUUUGUUUUGUUUUGUUUUCUCUUUAUUUCUUUCUAUUUUUUUUUGGUUUUUGAUGUUCUUUUUUUUUCUCUUUUUUUUUACAAACGUCUUCGAGUUCCAAAGAGGGUAAUGAAAGAAAGGUAACCGGCUCAAAGGGUUAGCAAAGGAUUGGAAUGUUUGGGGUAGCGAAAAUGAAAGCCUUCGUUAUCCCAAUCAGAUAAUGUUAUUGCUGCAGAAGGAUUAUACAUAGUACCUUUUGACUGCAUCUGCAUUUACAACAGUUUCAGGGUCAUUUCCUUCAAUGUCUCCCAGAUAUAAUGCCCCUUUUGGCAACAAUUUUCUGACAAUGUAUGGGCCUUUCUAGUUAGGAGCAAACUUUCCUUUUGCUUCCUGAUGAUAGGGAAGAAUAUGCAUUAAAACAAGUUUCCCCACUUCAAAAUUUCUAGGCCGCACUUUCUUGUUGUAGGCACGGGCCAUUCUUUGUUGAUACAACUGCCCGUGGCAGCCUGCGGCCAUUCGCUUUUCAUCGAUCAGGGUUAAUUGUUCCAGAUGAGUUUUGACCCACUCUUGUCUUCAGUUUCAGCUUCAGCAAUGAUCCGGAGGGAAAGGAUUUCAACUUCUGCGGGUAUUACGGCUUCAGUGCCAUAAACCAAAAGAUAGGGGGUUGCUCCGACUGAUGUGCGCAAAGUAGUGCGAUAUCCCAACAAUGCAAACAACAACUUUUCAUGCCACUGCCUGGAGCUUUGAAUCAUCAUUCUCAAAAUCUUUUUGAUGUUCUUGUUUGCUGCUUCAACGGCACCAUUGGCUUUGGGCUGAUAAGGAGUAGAGUUCCAAUGCGUUAUCUUGAAUUGUUCGUGUAUUUUCCUCAUCAAAUGGCUAUUCAAAUUUGCAGCAUUAUCUGUAAUGAUAGUUGCGAGAAUACCAAAAUGGCAUAUGAGAUUGGAGUGCACAAAGUCUACCACAGCUUUCUUGGUGACAGAUUAGAGAGUAAUUGCUUCAACCCACUUUGUGAAGUAGUCUAUGGCAACCAAUAUGAACCUAUGCCCAUUUGAAGCUUUCGGCUCAAUCGGCCUAAUGACGUCCAUGCCCCAGGCAACAAAUGGCCAAGGUGAUGACAUGGGAUGCAGUUCUGUAGGUGGUGCAUGAAUCAAAUCACCGUGCACCUGACACUGAUGACAUUUCUGGAUGAAACUAAAGCAAUCUUUUUCCAUAGUCAUCCAGUAAUAACCUGCUCGGAGGAUUUUCUUUGCCAAAACAUACUUGUUCAUGUGGGGUCCUCACACUCCUACGCGCACUUCAUACAUGAUUCUUCCGGCCUCUUCGGCUUCAACACAUCUUAACAAGUUGAGAUCCGGAGUCCUUUUGUACAAGCAUCACUGCUCAAGAAGAAACCACUUGCGUGCCAUCUAAUGGUUCUCUUUUGGUCUCCACUGGCUUGCUCGGGGUAUUCUUUAGUUUUCAAAUCUUUUGAUAUCAUGAUACCAUAGCUGAAUAUUUGGUUCAGCCUCAAUCGUAUUGUAGUAACCGUGCCUUUCUCGAAUUUGGAUUUCCAAAGAAUCAAUAUGGGCAUUGCCUGGGUAUGGCAGCAUCGAGGCCAAAGUAGCGAGCGUAUCGACUAACUCAUUGUGACAACGAGGAACAUACCUGAACUUAACUGACUUGAACUGCCUGCUAAGAUCUUCCAUAUGUUGCCUAUAGGGAGUUAGUUUGACAUCUCGAGUUUCCCAUUCUCCUUGAGCUUAUCGGAUAAUCAGAUCUGAAUCUCCCAUGAUUAACAAUUCUUCAACAUCUUGGUCGAUUUCCAUGUUCAUACCCAUGAUGCAGGCUUCAUACUCAGCUGUGUUGUUUGUGCAGAAGAACCGAAGCCGGGCUGUGGCUGGAUAGCGCUAACUCGUGGGUGAGAUCAAGAUUGCUCCAAUUCCAAUGCCUUUGGCAUUCACAGCUCCAUCGAACAACAUUUCCACACAUUGGUGUCUUCUGAUGUUAUCUCAACUGAAUUUACCUCUUUAUCCGGAAAGUAGGUACUCAAGGGUUGGUAUUCAUCAUCAAUCGGGUUUUCAGCUAGGUGAUCCGCUAAAGCUUGGGCUUUCAUCGUCGUGCGGGUGAUGUAGACUAUGUCAAAUUCAGAGAGCAGGAUCUGCCAUUUUUCUAAUCUUUCUGUUAGCAUUGGCUUCUGGAAUAUGUACUUUAGGGGGUCCAUCCUGGGGAUGAGAUAAGUGGUGUAGGCCAACAAAUAAUGCCUCAGCUUCUGAGCGACCCAAUUUAGGGUGCAGCAAGUCCUUUCCAACAGGGUAUAUUUGGCUUCAUAACUUGUGAACUUUUUGCUCAAAUAGUAGAUUGCCUGCUCUUUCUUCACGGUCACAUCGUAUUGCCCGAGGACACAACCAAAGGAAUUUUCCAAGACUGUUAGGUAUAAAAACAAAGGCCUCCCCGGUUCAGGUGGGACCAAGAUUGGUGGGUUUGAUAGAUAUUCUUUGAUUUUGUCAAAGGCUUCUUGACACUCGUCUGUCCAUUUGAUUGCCGCAUCUUUCUUCAAUAGCUUGAAUAUGGGUUCACAUGUGGAUGUCAACUGAGAAAUGAACCGAUUGAUAUAGUUCAACCUGCCCAACAAGCUCAUUACCUCUUUUUUAGUUCUUGGAAGAGGCAAAUCUUGAAUAGACUUUAUCUUUGUUGGAUCUAGCUCGAUGCCCCUCCGACUGACUAUAAACCCCAAGAGUUUGCCAGACGGAACCCCAAAUGCACAUUUAGCCGGAUUUAGCUUCAGGUCGCACAAAAAAAUUUCUCAAGUCCCGAGCAUGGUCAUCCCGUGUUCUAGAAUUAAUGAUCACAUCGUCCAUGUACAAUUCGAUUUCCUGGUGCAUCAUGUCGUGGAAAAUGGCAGCUAUGGCUCUCAUGUAAGUUGCCCCGGCAUUCUUCGGACCAAAAGGCACGACACUGUAGCAAUAGGUGCCCCAAGGUAUUGUAAAUGCUGUCUUUUCUGCAUCUUCCUCAUCCAUUAAAACCUGAUAAUACCCAACAUAACAAUCCAUGAAAGACUGUAUCUCAUGUUUGGCACAGUUGUCAACGAGAAUGUGGAUGUUCGCCAAAGGGAAGUUGUCUUUGGGACUUGCUUUGUUCAGAUCUCGAUAGUCAACGCACACCCGAGUUUUCCCAUCUAUCUUUGGUACGGGAACUACAUUAGCCAGCCAUGUGGUGUAUCGUACCACUUGGAUCACCCCCGCUUUCAACUGUUUGGUAACUUCUUCUUUGAUAUUGUCACUAAUAUCAGUUUUGAACUUUAUUUGCUUUUGCUGUAUAGGGGGAUAAUCGGGGUAAGUCGGCAACUUGUGGACCACUAAAUCGACACCCAAUCCCGGCAUGUCAUCGUAAGACCAAGCAAACAUUUAUUCGAACUCAAACAAAAGUUGGAUCAAGACAUCCUAGUUCUUUCAUCUGUGUGAAUGCUUAUCAUGGUCUCUUGGACCUCUUCUGAAUUACCCAAAUUUACCGGCUCGGUUUCAUUUAAGUUUGUCUUAAGUUUAUUCUCAGCUCCAAUUCUUUAUUUAUUUCCCUAAAAGCCUCUUCUUCAUCGUAUUCUGGUUCUUGGUUCAUUAUUUCAUAAUUAGACAACAUGUUUGGAUCUGGGCAUAAAGUCCGCAAGCAUGUCAUGUUAUUUAAAGCUUCAUUAUUAGAACUGAAAGAAGAACUAAGAAUAAUUAACAAAAAUCAGAAAGAAUAAAAAGAGAUGAACGAUGAAAUAUUGAUUUCAUUUCAUUGAAUUUUGAAGAUAACAGGGUUUACGUGGGAAAUUAAAGACAUGAAACUAAAAAGAAAACAUCCGAGUUAUACCCUGAGAUAACUCGUGAUACAGAAAAGGUGGCAGGACUGAACUACCAGGAUUCCCGCCUGACUGGGAAAUGAGUAGGUUUCCAAUUUUGCAGCUUGGCAUUGAGCCCCAUAUACAACACCUGAGCGGUUCUCGAGCCUUCUCCCGGUUGGACCAUGUGGGUUUCAUACAACAUUUGCCUCAUAUCCCCACAAAUUUCUUCAAUUUCCUCGGUCGUGAAGGCCUCAUCUUCCUCUUCCUCAUUGUAUUUUGGCCUGACAAAUGUUCUACAAAGAUAUGGAAUCGGCUGAGGCAAGACCCAACCAUUGUUCUUUCGGUCAUCUGCCCAUUUUCCAUCAGUUGGCGUGGGUUGGAAACCUACUCCAAAGAACUUCUCACUAGCAGCCGGGGUGAUAGGUUCAGUAAUUCCUUGCAAUGAAGUCUUAAGCCCCUUCUCGGGUUUGUAACCAUGUCUGAUCAUUUCUUUGGCAACCAUAAUUGAUGCAUUUGAGAGAAAGAGUUGAGGACAAGGGUUUCCUUCUUCACAUUGGUCUACGACCACAACCUCUAAAGCUUGAUAGACUAUAUGUUCACUUCCUUCUCUAGCUUCGAGACAUGGGACUGACGGCUCCCGGUAGAUUGACUGCUCAUCUUCUCCGUGAACUACAAUCUCCUGAUCUUCAUGCUCGAAUUUCACCAUCUGGUGGAGAGUAGAAGGUACAACCCAUGCUGCAAGAAUCCAAGGUCUUCCCAAGAGGAAAUUAUAGGAAGUAUCCAUAUCUAAGACCUAAAAGUUCACCUCAAAAUCCAUCGGAACAAUAGUCAGAACCAAAUCAAUCUCACCAAUGGUAUCUCUUUUGAUGCCAUCAAAGGCAUGCACACAGACGUUGUUGGGCCUUAUUCUCUCAGUACCGAUCUCCAUUCGUUGCAGAGUUGAGAGAGGGCAAAUAUCUACUCCAGAACCACCAUCCAACAUGACCCUUUUCAUAUAAUAUCCCUCGCAUUUACUGUCAGAUGAAGGGCUUUAUUGUGGGCGGCUCCUUCCGGUGGCAAAUCAUUCUUGCUGAAAGAGAUCUGAUUGACUGCAAAAAAACCUUUCCGCCAUCCUCUCCAACUGUUCCACAGUGGUUUCAAUGGGUACAUAUGCUUCAUUGAGAGUUUUGAUCAAUACUUUUUGAUGUUCAGUUGAAUUCAUUAGCAGAGACAACAAAGAGACUUGAGCAGGAGACUUUUGGAGUUGAUCAAUUAUCUCGUAGUCUGCCAUUUUCAAUUUUCGAAAUAACUCUUCUACUUCUUCAGCACUUACUAGCUUCUUUAGUGGGAAACACUUCUUCGUGGAAUUAUUCACUUCCUCUAGAUUGAGGUAUUGCUCAGCUACGUUAUUUUCCUUAACUUCUACCGAGAUCUCUUUACCCCUGUAAGUUACUACCGCCUUAUUGUAAUUCCAUGGAAUGGCAGUGGGAUCUAUCAUAGGCCUCUAUAGUGCACUGCCAAUAACCACGGGCUCAUUCAGCGUUGGUGAAAUUACUGGCCCCCGCACCACGUAGGUCCCUUUAGGCACAUACAUUUUAGAUCCCUUUUUAGCUCAAACCUUCUUGGAGGGCUCAAUGACAUCUAUUCUUUCUUAUAGCCCCGAGGAACAUAAAGAACGACAUCUUUUGAAGGUUCUACCCCAGUUUCAGUUUGCACUUUCUUUUCUGCAUUCAGAGGGGUGGGUUUACUCUUCUUCUCCCGCUUGUCUUAUUUUGCGAUAGUCUUUGGCUUCUUUUCCACAUCAGAUAUGGAAAUGAUGGCUUUUAGAGCUGGUUCAAACUCUCAAUCUUCACAAAUCAUUCCAAUAACCGGCCCGUUGUUCUUAGCUGGUAAUGGAUUGUUAGUUAUAUUAGGAACGUCUUUGUCCUUUAGCACUAUUUGCUUUUGUUCUAUGAGGUUUUCAACAGCUCUUUUUAGGGUCCAACAGUCUUCUGUAUCAUGCCCUUCUACCCCCGAGUGGUAAGUACAUCGAGUUCCGGCUCUGUAAGCGGGCGACGCUGGGUUCUGCCUGGUUUGGGGUACAGGCUGCAACAAACCCAUCUAGACAAGUUUGGGGAAAAAGUUGGAAUAUGACUCACCAAUGGGUGUGAAGUUUACCAUCUUGGGUGGUUCCCGGGUACGAGCGUUGUAGGGGAAGUUGUUCUGUGGAGGUCGGGGAUUAUACUGAGCUUGGUGAGGAGGUUGAUUUCUGGAAAAUGGAGCUCGGUUUUGAUUAAAUUGUUGUUGUGGCCUAACGUAGAGUUGGGCAUUCAUCACUACAUAUGUCUGAGGAACCAUAGCAUAGACCACAUCCUGAUGGGGAUAGUAAUGUUAUGGGGUUCUUUCAGGGAAAUAAGGUCUGGGUGGACGGGGUUUUCUUACACAUGAAGUUGCCAUUGCCGCUUCUUCUUUCUUCUUUCGGUUUACUACACCUCCAGACCCGCCUUGAAUUGCUUGGGAGGUAGCCCUUAUUGCAGACUGCCUCAAAAUGCGCCCUUUCUUUAACCCAUUCUCAACCAUUUCAUCGAUUUUUAUGGCCUCGGCAAAUGGCUUCCCCAUCGCAGAUAUCAUGUUCUGAUAAUAAUCAGCCUCUUAGGCUUGAAGGAAAAUGCUAACCAUCUCUGUUUAGUCCAUUGGAGGUUUGACUCUGGCCGCUUGUUCGCACCAUUUGAGAGCAUACUCUCGGAAGCUUUCCGAGGACUUCUUUAAUUUGACAAUGAAUUCCUGUCAGGGGCAAUGUCGAUGUUGUAUGAAACUGUCUGACAAAAUCCCAAGCCAGGUCGUCCCAAAUAUGCCACCGAGAUAUAUCCUGAUCCAUAUACCAUUCAGAAGCAAUGCCGACCAAACACUCUCUAAAGUAAGCCAUGAGAAGCUCCUCUUUUCCGCCGACUCCCCACAAUUGGUUGCAGUACAAUUGGUUGCAGUACCUUUUGAGGUGGGCUAUGGGAUCCUCAUGCCCAUCGUACUUUUCAAACUUCGGGGUUUUAAAACCCAAGGGUAAAUGCACGUGGGGAAACAUACAUAGGUCAGCAUAGGACAAACUUUUUUUCCCUCUCAAACCCUGUAUAUUUUUGAGACUCUGCUCUAUGCUCCUCAUCUUUCUGGUAAUCUCCACUUGUUCAGGAUUUUUUUGUGGUUUUCUCCUACCCCACGGUAAACUCUUACCGGGGCGGCUGAGGGUAAGCAUUGGUAGUAAACUGGGCUGGUUCUAGUGGGAAAGAUGGUGCUUGAAAUGUGAAGGAAGAUGGGUCAAAACUAGGCCUGGGUAGAGUGGGUUGUGUCGUAGCUGAACAAGGUGGCGUGGUGAAUAUAUUCGAGGCCACACCUGAAGUUAAUACCUGGGGGCGAGCCUCAGAAGGUGUUCCAACAAAGUGGGCUGAGAUGGUAGGAUAUCUCAAUGGGGUAUUUGGAUAACUUAUGGGGAUGUUGGAAGUCCCACUUGCCUUGGGAAAUAGCUCAGGGAAUCCAGGUAUCGCACUUGGUGGUUCUCUGUCGUUGGCCCAGAUGUCCCAUAUUUCCAUCAUGCGGAGACGCAGAAUUCUAUUUUCCUUAGCAGUUGCUGACUGAAAAGUUGGGAUAGCCGAGAUCGGGCUAUCCUCCGGAAUAGGGAUUGUUGGUAGAUGACUUUCUGAAGACAUUUCAAUACUUCCUUUUGACCUUGUGAAGUAUAGAUGUGAAGCCAGAUUACCACAAAACCAACCACCUUAAUAUAAAACCUAGACUUAACAGUAGACAACAAACCGGUCAGUUUGAAGCAAUUAACACAUAGGUAAUCGCAUGUUGGUGUGUGAUGCACCUAUACAGCUAAAUGUGUUUCUACAUGUUUCGCAAUGGUUGCAUGUUUCAUCCCGACUUUGCUUAUUUUCCCCAAUUUUCUUUUCUUUCCACUUUGGCUCUUUGUGCUUCUCCUCUUAUUCCUAUUUUCCUCUCUUUCUUUCCUCUCUUUCCUUGCUCUUUUUUUUUAUUUUUCUUUGGCUCUCUUUUCUUUCUUUUUGGUUUUUCUUUCGGUUUUUUCCUUCCUCAUCCCUAUUUUAUUUGAGUUAUUUACAAAAUCAUGACUGGAUUCGAUGAGGAUUGCCUACGUAUCACGACACCGUGUGAAUCAGAUCAUUAUGUAGUUCAAGAAAAUAAAUGCGAAAAAUUGUGAAUCAGAUCAUUAUGUAGUUCAAGAAAAUAAAUGCGAAAAAUAAAGAAACAAUUUUUUUAGGAAUUUCCAAUUUUCAUUAAUAAAACUCUUAAACAUUUCUAUUACAAAAGACUCCAUCAUACUCAUUUCUUGGAAUUUUAAAAACUACAAACAGACUCAAAACAACAUUUUAAAACUAAAAAAUGAAAUACAGACUCGAUAAAUGAAAAUCAAAAGUACAUAAGUGCCUCUACUCCUGGGGCCCGUGGGACAUCAUUCGUUCUUGCCACGGGUCUAUGUGCAAGAUCCCCUUGAAGCCGCUCUAGAUCACUCAUUAUUUGGCGAACAAAUGUCAUUACUAUAGCAAAGAAAGUAGUUCGAGUCAUGUUCUCACAUUCAUGGCAUUUCAUGAUGAUGUAGUCGGCAAUUGCUCUAACCCUCUCCCGGAUAAUACCCUUUUCUUGGAGAAAACGCCCGAUUUGCUGAUUCCGAGCUUCCAACACUUGGGUGUCAUGAUGGUUUUGAUUCUGCAAUUGUUACAUAUCUUCCUCCCUCUGGGCCAUCAAAGCAUAGCAAUGUUCCCUUUCGGCUUUAAAGUUCCUAAGCGGUUUGGCCACCUCGUUUUCAAGGGUAGUUAACUUUCUCUUCAAAUCGGUGACUGUCCCCUCAUAUUUUCUUUUCAACUGUUGGACAAACUCUGCUUGCCCCUCGGCGUUCUUUGCCAACUGUGCUCUAGCUCUUGCCAAACCGCUUUCGAAUUUUUGUAGAUCAUUCCCAUACUCAUAUAUUUUGUUCCUAAGGCCAUUAAUGAGUUUUUCAUGUGCUCGGCUUCUUUCCGAAUUCUUCGCAGUUAUCUUCAUCCUUUGGACCUGGGCCCGGAGGAUUUCAUUUUCUUGGGCUAACUUUUUCUUUUCACCCUCUUCUGCAUCGGCUUGAACAUUACUAGCGAACUUGAGGUCUCUAAUCUGUCCUUCUAACCUGCUUAUGGUGGCCCGAUAUUCAUUUUCUUUUGCCAGCCACUCUCAUUGUUCUUGUGAUGCCUCGACAAACUCUUGGAGGUGGGGUCUUUUAGCUGGCUUUCCAAACUCAACUUCCCUUUUGUACCAAGCGAGGUAACCGGGCGAGACUUCACCUCUAGAUAGAUCAUACACUCGGGUAUUUAUUUUUAGAUAUUAGCAUUCACUCCAAAUCUGGCGAACUACUGUUUCGUGAAACUGCCCAUCAGAACAGAUCUCGACCACAUGGAGGCUAAGGUCUUCAUCCUUGGGCACUAUUUGACAUCUCCCAAGCUGUCUCAAAACAAGGUAUGAGGCAUAAGGAUGGAUACUUCUAAGACCCAUCAGGAGGAAAUGAGGCCCGGUAGCUGGCAUGUAUAUGAUUUCAUCAACAGAAAGCCAACCGAACGUCCAUUCUAUUUGAUUUGCAGUGACGGAACGGAGGCGUGAUAUCCAUUUUGUGACCCAUUCUAGCAUGUUAAACCCGUCGACCCUUGUGUAAAACUCCCCUAUGCAGCUUUUCCCUAUCGACCCAUAGUUCAUGUAUUGAGGACGAUGACAUAGAUGUUCAAUCAUCCACAUUUGUAGCAGCAAGUUGCACCCUUCAAAAAAGUCUCAUCUGGCUUUGCAGGUUGUGAGAGCUCGAAAGAUUUCAGACACUAUCAUGGGUGCGAGGGUGCUUUUUGCCUGAGUAAGCAAAGUUUUGACGACCCCAGCUAUCCGUAUAUCGAUAUUCCCAUCUUUCCUGGGAAAUACUAGAAGACCUAAAAAUACCACCAUGAAAGCGAAGCACCUGUGUUCUUCCAAUUUUAGUUGGUUCCCUUUGCUGCAAAUUUGCUUUCUGGAUUGUUGAAACCCCCUAUGUGUCUGUAUUACUGGUAUAUGAACUGUGGAGUGGAGAAACUAGCUGCCAAAUUUGGGUAUUGGACCCCUCUGCUUAUCUUUAGCAAAUCUAGAAACUUGAGUGGAGUGACAACUCUUGGAGUGACCAAAUACUUGUGUCUCAGAGCUUCAGUACUCCCGAUAUACCCAACUGUCUCUUCCAAAGUGGGUGUGAGUUCAAAAUUCGAGAAAUGAAACACGUUGUGGGUUGGAUCCAAAAACGUAACCAGUGCCUUUAUUAUAUCUCCUCUAGACCUGAUCUUCAAUAACCCGGGGAGACCCCCUAAGUAGAGAUUGACCAUAUCUUGUUCUGAUUUACCCAGAUAUUCCCACCACAUAUAUAGUUUCAAAGGAAUCUUGGUCAUGACCUUUAUUGGCAAGUUUUGACUCAUGCUCAUUCUGCACAUUUAAAUUAAGGUGAUUGGUUUAAAACAGAGCGGAUUUUACUAAAGAGGUCGAUUUUGCAAACAUUUAAAUAACACGGCUACUUUUGCAAAUACGGCCCUUCAGAGGGAAGAUUUUAGGGUUGUGCUUCCUAGGUAGCCAAAAAUUUGAAAAAGGGAAGUAGGUGGUUAUUCUUGCAAAAACGGUCUUCUGGCGUCCUUUUGGGGACAUUUUAGGCUAUUUAGACAAGAACGACACAUCUAAUUUUAUUUAAAAUAGAAUAACAAUAUUUCAUCAUUUUUUUCGGGUUAUUUUUGAAAAAAAUAGAGUUGGACCCGAUGGGGGUUGUCUACUUAUCCCACAUCCGGUGAAACUUGCGUAGUUCGGUCAGUUUUGACAUAAUAAAAAUAGAGAAAAGACAUGAGACUUUUGAAACCAAAUUCUUUUUUCUUCUUUUUUUCCAAAAUUUUGGCAGAGUUUCUGCGUAUUUUGGACAUCAGGUUUUUUCAAAGGAGGGUAAUCAAUUCUCUCAUACCUCAAUUUUAUUUUCCCAAUUCCUUCCCUAUUCUAGCAACCGGUCAACAUGCAAACCGAAGCAAAUAACUGCACAAGUAGCAAGUGGAAUAUGCAUCAGGAUGGUCUUUGAUUCUGGGGUCCACCUGUCCUAGACGGACCCAACUCCUAUGUUGAGUCCCCAAAGUCAAAUGCACAUGAUGCAGACAAAUGUUCCUACUAGGGAUCCGGCAUGAGUCAGAGUUAUUCUAAGUUUAAAACCUGGGUAUAUUGUUCUAUACUUGUGUACCCGAGCGGACAACUCGAGCCGCGGGGGGNNNNNNNNNNNNNNNNNNNNNNNNNGGCCAUCCGGCUUUGUAACUUGUCCGAGCCUCUUUCUUAUUUCAAGGUAUGACACUAAUAGAAAGAGGAGUCACGCAAGCGUGCACAUCCCCGAAGAUAAGAAGAGAAGGGUUUCGUAACAUUUUAUAUACCAUUCAAAUAAAAUCAAAGCGGUAAAAAGAGACAUUUAGCACAUUAGGCCCAAACAUGCAAUAAACAAUCAGAUAACAAAUAAAAGCCAAUUAUAAAAGUUAUUCUAAGCUCGAAUUCUUAAUCCCUGAACAAAAGUUCUGGGUUAUGUUCCCCAGCAGAGUCGCCAGAGCUGUCACACCUCCUUUUUACACACCCGAUGGUAUAGAUAGGGUGUUUUUCCAAUUUAAGUGACAUUAUUCGAAAUGAGACUAUUUAAUUUAUUUCAGAGUCGCCACUUGGGAUAUUAUUAUGUUGUCACAAGUCACCGAUUUAUUUUAAGUCCCAAAUCGAGGAAAUUCGACUUUCUUUUUGAAGUCUGCGAACCAGAAAUUCUAAGUAAGGAAUUCUGUUAACCCGGGAGAAGGUAUUAGGCAUUCUCGGGUUCCGUGGUUCUAGCACGGUCGCUUAAACUAUUGUUAUUGGCCUAUUAUCUGAAUUUAAUACACGUUUUAGCCUAUGGUUCAAUUUGCUUAUUAACCGCUUUUAAUAAUUAUUGUUACAUAUUGCAAAUCAUGUCACGGGAACCGUACCCACGAUUUACAACAUGUUUAAUUUUUAAAGACUAAAUUGUAGACGGGUCACAUAAAUGCACCCGCGGGUUUUAGUAACUAGGUGUCACAUCUACGUCACGGGAACCGCAGCCAUAGCUAUGACAAUUAAUUAAUUAACGUGCCUAAAGCAACUACGAAAUUUCAUGGCAAUUUCUAUACUAAUUUUUAUUUAUAUAAGAUCCAUAAAUUGUAGGAUUUUAUUUGUAUAUGGCACACCCCAAUUUAUUUGAUCUAAAUUUGUGAGGGCCAAGUGUUAUGGAUUUAAAGCAUGGCACACCUCAACUUAUUCUUAAAAAAAAGUUUUAUAUUUUAAAGGCAAACUAAAGGUGCUCUCAUUUUUUUACUAAUUUAAAAACUAGCUAUCACAAUCACAUCACGGGAACAGUACCCGUAGUCUUAAUAAUUUUAAAAUCGGACCUAAAACAAGACACGAGUAUAAUGAUGUAAACAACAAAGGUAAUGAACUAACAAUAUUGUUGCGAGACAGUUUGUUAGCCUUUUCAUAGCAGAAACUCAAACUCCUACAAUAAGCAUGUUAUUAGAUGCCUAUUUGAAGUGAAACAACGUUCUUUCAUAGAGAAAGUUAACAAUUAAUUGUAGUGGAAUUUAUCACUCACGUAUGCUAAUUUUACCUAAGAGCCGCAGUUCUCUUAAUUUGAGUUUACCAACAAAGAACAACUCUUGACCCAACAACACCAAAGUUUAUACAAACACACACAUGCCAUUCAAUGAACUAAGUGACUAAAUAAUUAGAAAAGUCACAUAAUACUAAGCUAAAUGAAAACAAGGAAAAUGAAUUUUUUAUCACUUCAAUUCAAUACAUGUCAAAUGAUGCGUUUAAAACAGUAAGCACCUAAAGUUAAUUUAAAAUAAAACUUUGAUUCAUGAGCUUCAAUUAAGUGACAACAAACUUAACGCCUCAAUCAUACUUCACUUUUGAUAAACGAGAAGGAACCAGUAAUUGAAAAUUGUAAAUGAGGCUAUUAAGUAAGAACACCAAGGUUUGUAUUUCAGUUACCCAUUUUCACAAUCAAAUUCACAAAACUUAACUUAUAGGCGAUCAAAGUCAGAGUUGAUUUGAAGAGCUCCAAACACAUUUUAAGACACACAGUUAAAUUAUGGACACUAACAGAUCUUUUCCGAUAACAAAUUAGGACAGCUUCAACCAAUAAAUCAGUCGUAAUUAAAGCAAGAAAAUUAAUCAAAUAAGUUAUAUAGUCAUGUGUAAAACUCAAAUCAAUCAAAUACCAACUCAGUGAUCCCAAAAUCAAAUUAGAUUUGCAACCCAAUGUGUCUGAACCAAACAAAUCAAGAAUCGUAAAUGUUCAAUCUUAGAAGUAAAACCAACACACUUAGCGGGAAGAGAUGCAAACUGAAUAAACUUAAACGGAUAAGAGGAAAUCAAGAACGAACCUGUUAAGUAAUCUUUCUUUAUAGCAAUUAUAGAAUCGACAAAUACACUGUUUUCUUGACUCCAAAAUUCCAGCGAGAUUCAGCAACAAUAUCGAGCAAAAUUUGCAAGCCAAAUCGAAAUUUCGAAAGACCACUUCGGACAGAAUCGACAAAGUGCAGAAAAUGCAAAACUCCAGCCCCAAUCUUCAACUUGAGGAUUUAAACCAAACUUCCUUUCUAAAAAAAAGAACAGAAAUCAAGAGAAAAAGAAAACAAGGUUAGAAGAAAUCUAUUUCAACAAUCUUUUUUUUAUUUUUUCUCUUAAAAAACAAAACAAAGCUCGAAUGAAAACUAAAUUCAAGCCAUAUUUUUUGUGUAUCUUUUCUGAAAAAAAUGACAAAGAAGACUGAAAAAGAAAAAGGAAAAGAAAACUUGAAGGAAAGUGACGACUAAAAAUCUAGAAAUUGACUAAGAUUUCUGAAAAGUUUCUCCGAUUUUUCCUCUAACCUAGCAUAUAAGACUUACCUCAUAUAUAUAGCCUUCAAAAACUUCAAACAAUCUGCCCAAAAUCCAAAAAUCCCUCGAAUUGUUUUGAACAAUUUUGGGACAAAUGGAGGGCGUGGAUUGAUUCACAUCUAUCCACGACUCCCAUUCAUCCAACAAUUGUCCUCUUUGUACAGAAAUUCGCAAUUUUGAGCGAAU
This 28056-nucleotide long non-coding RNA is filed under the name Nicotiana tabacum (common tobacco). RNAcentral's name for it is "long non-coding RNA (NTAB_LNC002674)". Lineage: Eukaryota; Viridiplantae; Streptophyta; Magnoliopsida; Solanales; Solanaceae. The record is from RNAcentral.